RNAcentral lists this ribosomal RNA (253 nucleotides) under uncultured bacterium. RNAcentral describes it as "partial 16S ribosomal RNA". It matches the Rfam family "Bacterial small subunit ribosomal RNA", at positions 524 to 776 of the family's 1533-position model. The record is from RNAcentral.
UACGUAGGGGGCAAGCGUUGUCCGGAAUCAUUGGGCGUAAAGAGCGUGUAGGCGGCCCGAUAAGUCCGCUGUGAAAGUCCAGGGCUCAACCCUGGGAUGCCGGUGGAUACUGUCGGGCUCGAGUCCGGAAGAGGAGUGUGGAAUUCCUGGUGAAGCGGUGAAAUGCGCAGAUAUCAGGAGGAACACCAAUGGCGAAGGCAGCACUCUGGGACGUGACUGACGCUGAGACGCGAAAGCGUGGGGAGCAAACAGG